UGUUAAGCCAAGCAGAGGUCUGACCAAA
This 28-nucleotide non-coding RNA is filed under the name Rattus norvegicus (Norway rat). Lineage: Eukaryota; Metazoa; Chordata; Mammalia; Rodentia; Muridae. The record is from RNAcentral.